Molecule: ribosomal RNA, 460 nt
Filed under: uncultured bacterium
Lineage: Bacteria
Description: partial 16S ribosomal RNA
Rfam family: Bacterial small subunit ribosomal RNA
Source: RNAcentral
CCUACGGGUGGCAGCAGUGAGGAAUAUUGGUCAAUGGACGAGAGUCUGAACCAGCCAAGUAGUGUGAAGGAUGACUGCCCUAUGGGUUGUAAACUUCUUUUAUAUGGGAAUAAAACGUUCCAAGUGUGGGAUCUUGUAUGUACGAUAUGAAUAAGGAACGGCUAACUCCGUGCCAGCAGACGAGGUAAUACGGAGGAUCAGAGCGUUAUCCGGGUUUAUUGGGUUUAAAGGGAGCGUAGGUGGAUUGUUAAGUCAGUUGUGAAAGUUUGCGGCUCAACCGUAAAAUUGCAGUUGAAACUGGCAGUCGUGAGUACAGUAGAGGUGGGUGGAAUUCGAGGUGGAGCGGUGAAAUGCGUAGAUAUCACGAAGAACUCCUGUUGCGAAGGCAGUUCACUGGACUGCAGCUGACACUGAGGCUCGAAAGUAUGGGUAGCAAACAGGAUUAGAUACCCCAGUAGUC